GGCCGCCUGGCGAAAUGGCAUCGCGUCUGACUACGACCAAGCGGAUGAACCGUUGGUAUAAAUCAGGAGAUUGCAGGUUCGACCCCUGCGGUGGUCA
Phanerochaete carnosa HHB-10118-sp is the source of this 97-nucleotide transfer RNA. It matches the Rfam family "tRNA". From Rfam's summary of the family: Transfer RNA (tRNA) molecules are approximately 80 nucleotides in length. The record is from Rfam. Lineage: Eukaryota; Fungi; Basidiomycota; Agaricomycetes; Polyporales; Phanerochaetaceae.